RNAcentral lists this ribosomal RNA (496 nucleotides) under uncultured bacterium. RNAcentral's name for it is "partial 16S ribosomal RNA". It matches the Rfam family "Bacterial small subunit ribosomal RNA", at positions 28 to 506 of the family's 1533-position model. The record is from RNAcentral.
GAUGAACGCUGGCGGCGUGCCUAAUACAUGCAAGUCGAGCGAACGGACGAGAAGCUUGCUUCUCUGAUGUUAGCGGCGGACGGGUGAGUAACACGUGGAUAACCUACCUAUAAGACUGGGAUAACUUCGGGAAACCGGAGCUAAUACCGGAUAAUAUUUUGAACCGCAUGGUUCAAAAGUGAAAGACGGUCUUGCUGUCACUUAUAGAUGGAUCCGCGCUGCAUUAGCUAGUUGGUAAGGUAACGGCUUACCAAGGCAACGAUGCAUAGCCGACCUGAGAGGGUGAUCGGCCACACUGGAACUGAGACACGGUCCAGACUCCUACGGGAGGCAGCAGUAGGGAAUCUUCCGCAAUGGGCGAAAGCCUGACGGAGCAACGCCGCGUGAGUGAUGAAGGUCUUCGGAUCGUAAAACGCUGUUAUUAGGGAAGAACAUAUGUGUAAGUAACUGUGCACAUCUUGACGGUACCUAAUCAGAAAGCCACGGCGAACUACGU